UCAAGGUAUAUACAUUGAAUUUUUUUUUUUACUGCUUAAAAGAAAUAGAAGAAAGAAAAGAAUAAUUCGAGUUAUGCCUCUUACAUGAAAAGUCCACCGUGAUGUUUCACGAAUAAGCGAAGGUUUUCCUAAACGUGAUUCCUAGAAAAAUGGAAUACAAAAAAAAAAAAAAAACGUAACACUUAAAACUUUAGCUCCAUAAAUUCCUAAGGCUAAUCCAGACAAUCCAGUGACCUAAUUUUGGAAGCGUUUCAAUGCUAGAAAAUAAAAAAUGAAAAUGGUAGAUUGUUUACUAUGGCAGUCAAUUUUUUUUUAUCAUCAAGUAAAUUGAUGCUUUCAAUUUUAAUUCACGAAAGUGUAUAUCUACAUUCUCUCUUUCAUUUGUUUAUGUUCAAGCCUCGCUUUUAAAAUAUCCUUUUCCGUUUCUUUUCGUAUAUUUUCCUGCCUUAGAAAUUCUUUUUAGCAUAAGCCUCUGCUUCUAAUUGAGCCUUAUACUGUGCAGUGAUUC
This is a long non-coding RNA of Hylaeus volcanicus, 508 nucleotides long. RefSeq lists it as uncharacterized. The transcript is spliced from 5 exons. NCBI's taxonomy places the organism in Eukaryota, Metazoa, Arthropoda, Insecta, Hymenoptera, Colletidae. The record is from RefSeq and is a predicted model, not a curated record.